This 247-nucleotide ribosomal RNA is filed under the name uncultured bacterium. RNAcentral describes it as "partial 16S ribosomal RNA". It matches the Rfam family "Bacterial small subunit ribosomal RNA", at positions 523 to 769 of the family's 1533-position model. The record is from RNAcentral.
AUACGUAGGGUCCAAGCGUUAUCCGGAUUUACUGGGUGUAAAGGGCGAGUAGACGGCAUAGCAAGUCAGAUGUGAAAACUUAGAGCUCAACUUUAAGACUGCAUCUGAAACUGUUAAGCUAGAGUGCAGAAGAGGUAAGUGGAAUUCCUAGUGUAGCGGUGAAAUGCGUAGAUAUUAGGAGGAACACCAGUGGCGAAGGCGACUUACUGGGCUGUAACUGACGUUGAGGAGCGAAAGUGUGGGGAGC